GUAGGGAAUCUUCCGCAAUGGGCGAAAGCCUGACGGAGCAACGCCGCGUGAGUGAUGAAGGUUUUCGGAUCGUAAAGCUCUGUUGCCAGGGAAGAACGUCUUGUAGAGUAACUGCUACAAGAGUGACGGUACCUGAGAAGAAAGCCCCGGCUAACUACGUGCCAGCAGCCGCGGUAAUACGUAGGGGGCAAGCGUUGUCCGGAAUUAUUGGGCGUAAAGCGCGCGCAGGCGGCCGUUUAAGUCCGGUGUUUAAUCCCGAAGCUCAACUUCGGGUCGCACUGGAAACUGGAGGGCUUGAGUGCAGAAGAGGAGAGUGGAAUUCCACGUGUAGCGGUGAAAUGCGUAGAGAUGUGGAGGAACACCAGUGGCGAAGGCGACUCUCUGGGCUGUAACUGACGCUGAGGCGCGAAAGCGUGGGGAGCAAACAGGAUUAGAAACCCCAGUAGUCC
This 449-nucleotide ribosomal RNA is filed under the name uncultured bacterium. RNAcentral's name for it is "bacterial SSU rRNA". It matches the Rfam family "Bacterial small subunit ribosomal RNA", at positions 354 to 796 of the family's 1533-position model. The record is from RNAcentral.